UGGGGAAUAUUGGACAAUGGGGGCAACCCUGAUCCAGCCAUGCCGCGUGAGUGAAGAAGGCCUUCGGGUUGUAAAGCUCUUUAAGCGGGGAGGAAGGUCGUGCAGUUAAUACCUGCGCGAAUUGACGUUACCUGCAGAAUAAGCACCGGCUAACUCUGU
Molecule: ribosomal RNA, 159 nt
Filed under: uncultured Pseudomonas sp.
Lineage: Bacteria; Pseudomonadati; Pseudomonadota; Gammaproteobacteria; Pseudomonadales; Pseudomonadaceae
Description: partial 16S ribosomal RNA
Rfam family: Bacterial small subunit ribosomal RNA
Source: RNAcentral